This 467-nucleotide ribosomal RNA is filed under the name uncultured bacterium. Its description in RNAcentral is "partial 16S ribosomal RNA". It matches the Rfam family "Bacterial small subunit ribosomal RNA", at positions 28 to 507 of the family's 1533-position model. The record is from RNAcentral.
GACGAACGCUGGCGGCGUGCUUAACACAUGCAAGUCGAACGGAAAGGCCCUUCUCGCGGGGUACUCGAGUGGCGAACGGGUGAGUAACACGUGAGUAAUCUGCCCUUCACUUCGGGAUAACUCUAGGAAACUGGGGCUAAUACCGGAUAGGAGCCCUUGUUGGAGGGUGGGUUGGGGAAAUUUUUCGCGGUUGGGGUUGGUCUCGCGGCAUAUCAGCUUGUUGGUGGGGUAGUGGCAUACCAAGGCGGUGACGGGUAGCCGGCCUGAGAGGGUGAACGGCCACAUUGGGACUGAGAUACGGCCCAGACUCCUACGGGAGGCAGCAGUGGGGAAUAUUGCACAAUGGGUGGAAGCCUGAUGCAGCAACGCCGCGUGCGGGAUGACGGCCUUCGGGUUGUAAACCGCUUUCGCUCAUGACGAAGCUUUGUGUGACGGUAGUGGGUAAAGAAGCACCGGCUAACUACGUG